AGCGAACGCUGGCGGCAGGCCUAACACAUGCAAGUCGAACGAACCUUUCGGGGUUAGUGGCGGACGGGUGAGUAACACGUGGGAACGUGCCUUUAGGUUCGGAAUAACUCAGGGAAACUUGUGCUAAUACCGAAUGUGUCCUUCGGGGGAAAGAUUAAUCGCCUUUAGAGCGGCCCGCGUCUGAUUAGCUAGUUGGUUGAGGUAAUGGCUCACCAAGGCGACGAUCAGUAGCUGGUCUGAGAGGAUGAUCAGCCACAUUGGGACUGAGACACGGCCCAAACUCCUGCGGGAAGCAGCGGUGGGGAAUCUUACGCAAUGGGCGAAAGCCUGACGCAGCCAUGCCGCGUGAAUGAUGAAGGUCUUAGGAUUGUAAAAUUCUUUCACCGGGGACGAUAAUGGCGGUACCCAGAGAAGAAGCCCCGGCUAAAUUCGUG
This 434-nucleotide ribosomal RNA is filed under the name uncultured bacterium. RNAcentral describes it as "partial 16S ribosomal RNA". It matches the Rfam family "Bacterial small subunit ribosomal RNA", at positions 29 to 507 of the family's 1533-position model. The record is from RNAcentral.